RNAcentral lists this transfer RNA (72 nucleotides) under Camelus bactrianus (Bactrian camel). It matches the Rfam family "tRNA". Rfam says of the family: Transfer RNA (tRNA) molecules are approximately 80 nucleotides in length. Their secondary structure includes four short double-helical elements and three loops (D, anti-codon, and T loops). Further hydrogen bonds mediate the characteristic L-shaped molecular structure. tRNAs have two regions of fundamental functional importance: the anti-codon, which is responsible for specific mRNA codon recognition, and the 3' end, to which the tRNAs corresponding amino acid is attached (by aminoacyl-tRNA synthetases). tRNAs cope with the degeneracy of the genetic code in two manners: having more than one tRNA (with a specific anti-codon) for a particular amino acid; and 'wobble' base-pairing, i.e. permitting non-standard base-pairing at the 3rd anti-codon position. RNAcentral also lists the same sequence under 2 other names. The record is from Rfam by way of RNAcentral. Lineage: Eukaryota; Metazoa; Chordata; Mammalia; Artiodactyla; Camelidae.
GAGGGUAUAGCUCAGUGGUAGAGUGCAUGCUUAGCAUGCACGAGGUCCUGGGUUCAAUCCCCAGUAACUCCU